CUUCCUUAAAACUACACACAGAGACAUAACAAAUGUAUCCAGGAGUCUGACUCUUGGGGAAGUAGACAAAAAAAAUAAUAAUAAUUGCCAAAAUCCCGAAGUUUUCCUUUAUUAAGGUUCGGGUUUUGGGUAUGAACUUCCCAAACAUCCCAGAUAGCAGUGACUGUAGGGGGAAGUACAGCAGCCUAAUGGUGUCUUCAACAUAGAAAGGAACAACAAGGAAGAUAAUUACCGGGUUUCAACGCAUCAUUUCAACACAUUCAACCCUUUAUUUCUUUGAAAUUAAAUCAUUCAAGCAAGCAAAACUGAACAACUUGGCUUGUAUGUGCGGGCGAGUCUGUUCUGUCAACCAUGGCCAACAACGUGGAGGAUAUCGAGAACAACAUGGCGACUGAGGCCCCGGUACCGACCCAGAACCAACACCCUGAGCCUGGGGUGACGGGGUUGCGGUCCAGGGGUGGAGGAGGGGCGGAACAGAACGGACAGGCUCCCCCACAACGAACCCCCCAGGUGGUAGAGAGUGAGGAAGACGAAGAUGAGGAGCUGACGCUGAAAUACGGGGCCAAACACGUCAUCAUGCUGUUCGUCCCGGUCACGCUCUGCAUGGUGGUCGUCGUGGCAACCAUCAAGUCCGUCAGCUUCUACACCCAGAACGAUGGACAGAGGCUGAUAUACACCCCUUUCCCCGAGGACACGGACACAAUAGGCCAGCGAGCCCUCAACUCGGUCCUCAACGCCACCAUCAUGAUCAGUGUCAUCAUAGUCAUGACCAUGGUGCUGGUGCUGCUAUACAAGUACCGCUGCUACAGGGUGAUCCAAGGCUGGCUGUUCCUCUCCUCUCUCCUCCUCCUGUUCUUCUUCUCCUUCAUAUACCUCAAAGAAGUGUUUAAGACAUACAACGUGGCGAUGGACUGGAUCACCCUGGCUGUGAUCGUGUGGAACUUCGGGGUUGUAGGGAUGAUCUGUAUCCACUGGAAGGGUCCUCUACGUCUGCAGCAGGCCUAUCUCAUCAUGAUCUCUGCUCUCAUGGCUCUGGUCUUCAUCAAGUACCUUCCCGAGUGGACCGCCUGGCUCAUCCUGGCUGUUAUAUCUGUCUAUGAUCUGCUAGCGGUGCUCUGCCCGAAAGGUCCUCUUCGUAUCUUAGUGGAGACGGCUCAGGAGAGGAACGAGCCCAUCUUCCCAGCUCUCAUCUACUCCUCGACCAUGGUGUGGCUGGUCAACAUGGCAGACACUGGCCUCGGACACAGACCGAUGACCAGGAAGAACUCAACAGAGGCCCCCGUCGCUCAGGUUGAGAGUCAAUCCCUGGCUUUAGGCCCGGCCCCUCUCAGCCCCCCAGAGGAUGACGGAGGGUUCACCCCUAACUGGAUGGGGCAUCAGGAGCAUCAGCUGGGACCCCUUCAAUCCACGGACGAGACGCGACGGGAGAUCCAACAACUCCCCUCUGCCAGACCGCCCGUAAUGGACGAUGAUGAUGAGGAGAGGGGAGUGAAACUGGGUCUAGGAGACUUCAUCUUCUACAGCAUGCUGGUGGGGAUAGAGUUGGUUACAGGGUUAGGAUCAGUGUGGUAUAACGUGGUUCUGAUUCCCAGGGGGAGUGAAACUGGGUCUAGGAGACUUCAUCUUCUACAGCAUGCUGGUGGGGAUAGAGUUGGUUACAGGGUUAGGAUCAGUGUGGUAUAACGUGGUUCUGAUUCCCAGGGGGAGUGAAACUGGGUCUAGGAGACUUCAUCUUCUACAGCAUGCUGGUGGGGAUAGAGUUGGUUACAGGGUUAGGAUCAGUGUGGUAUAACGUGGUUCUGAUUCCCAGGGGGAGUGAAACUGGGUCUAGGAGACUUCAUCUUCUACAGCAUGCUGGUGGGGAUAGAGUUGGUUACAGGGUUAGGAUCAGUGUGGUAUAACGUGGUUCUGAUUCCCAGGGGGAGUGAAACUGGGUCUAGGAGACUUCAUCUUCUACAGCAUGCUGGUGGGGAUAGAGUUGGUUACAGGGUUAGGAUCAGUGUGGUAUAACGUGGUUCUGAUUCCCAGGGGGAGUGAAACUGGGUCUAGGAGACUUCAUCUUCUACAGCAUGCUGGUGGGGAUAGAGUUGGUUACAGGGUUAGGAUCAGUGUGGUAUAACGUGGUUCUGAUUCCCAGGGGGAGUGAAACUGGGUCUAGGAGACUUCAUCUUCUACAGCAUGCUGGUGGGGAUAGAGUUGGUUACAGGGUUAGGAUCAGUGUGGUAUAACGUGGUUCUGAUUCCCAGGGGGAGUGAAACUGGGUCUAGGAGACUUCAUCUUCUACAGCAUGCUGGUGGGGAUAGAGUUGGUUACAGGGUUAGGAUCAGUGUGGUAUAACGUGGUUCUGAUUCCCAGGGGGAGUGAAACUGGGUCUAGGAGACUUCAUCUUCUACAGCAUGCUGGUGGGGAUAGAGUUGGUUACAGGGUUAGGAUCAGUGUGGUAUAACGUGGUUCUGAUUCCCAGGGGGAGUGAAACUGGGUCUAGGAGACUUCAUCUUCUACAGCAUGCUGGUGGGGAUAGAGUUGGUUACAGGGUUAGGAUCAGUGUGGUAUAACGUGGUUCUGAUUCCCAGGGGGAGUGAAACUGGGUCUAGGAGACUUCAUCUUCUACAGCAUGCUGGUGGGGAUAGAGUUGGUUACAGGGUUAGGAUCAGUGUGGUAUAACGUGGUUCUGAUUCCCAGGGGGAGUGAAACUGGGUCUAGGAGACUUCAUCUUCUACAGCAUGCUGGUGGGGAAGGCUUCGGCUGCAGCUAGUGGAGACUGGAACACUACUCUGGCCAGCUUCGUAGCCAUACUCAUCGGCCUGUGUUUAACUCUUCUUCUCCUGGCCAUCUUUAAGAAGGCCCUCCCUGCCCUUCCCAUCUCCAUCUUCUUUGGCUUGGUGUUCUACUUCGCUACAGACAACCUGGUCAGACCCUUUAUGGACCAGCUGGCUCUGCACCAGUUCUACAUUUAGCAGGAUGUUCCCCUGCUCUCCGCCACCCCACGGGAGCUGCCAUCAUCAACACCAGAGGUCUAUUCAUUAGUGCACAACAUAGCGAAACGUUUUUGCAACGAAAAACAUGUUUUUUUUGUUUUUUUUACCAAAUCAGUUAGGUUCCCUCCUCCUCUUUUUCAUCCUGUUUUGCUGUGCCAGAGUUCAACUUCUAACGAGGGACCAGGGGCAUCUCCGCUCCGGUCCAGUCCCCCUGACUGAAGUUGAUGGUAGUUUUUGGAUCUGCCUUUUUUGUUUCUGGGCUUAGUGGUGGAGGAGGUUCCUAACCAUGAUGUCUUUUUGAUUUGUUUAUACUUUCCUCGUUUGAUAUGCCGUCUAAAGGUAGUGGUUACGCUGAGUUGAAGGUAGUACUGCAGUGGGGUACUACCACAGAGCUAGAAUGAGUUUAUGAUUCUGUAGUUGAGAGUCAUACACAACCCAAAAAAGGAGGAGGAGGAGGAGGAGGAGAAGCAGCAGCAGACUGGUUGUACCUCCGGACUUCAGAGGGGCUUCUAAUAAAACCCGACUGAUCACUCACUAACGAACGGACUGUCACGUGACAUGAUGAUGUAACUGAUGAUACUGGUAAAAAAUGUUUUUUUUUUGUUGAAUAAUUCUCCUUUGAUUGUGCUUCUGGAAUUGAACUCGUCAAUAGUCAAAGCUUUUGCUUUGUCCAUCCAUCCAUCACUGCUCCAGGGGCUGUGUUCCAAAUGGCACCCUAUUCCCUGGAUAGUGCACUAGAGUCAAUAGGGCUCUAGUCAAAAGUAGUGCACUAUAUAGGGGGAAAGGGUGCUAUUCAUCCUGCAUUCCAGGAUUCAUUUCCAUGGUUUUUUUCUUUCGUUUUUUUCCCCCCCCCCCAACUCAAUUCAGAUAUUCAGACCGUGAAAACGAAGGCCUGUGAGUUUUACACAGUGUUGCUGGCCCACGAUGCUUGUUUUUCCUGAACAGGAUGGUUUGAAACAACGCCUAAUAGCAUUUAUAAUAUAUAAGAGCUUUGAGUUGUGUCCCCCACCACACCGCAUCAUAAAAAACACCUUGGUUUUGUUCUCUGUCAGAGCCAUGUCCAAGUCUAGACGUGCUGUUGAGUCUAACCUGAUUCCAGUGUUUGUCAUGACGGAAUUGACCCCCCCCAAAACUCCGUUUCUAUUCCAGUCCGUUCAGGAAGUAUACCCUGAAAUUCCAAUUAUAUCUCUAAUGCUUUUCAAUUAGGAAAAUGUGGAAUUGGAAUUUUGUUUUACUCUCUGAUUCGAUUGGGUUUGGAAAUUGAAUUCGCUCCGACCGUGACGACGAGUGACAGGAAGUUGACACGAUGGCACAAAGCAUAUCUGGGACCAGGUUAUGUUGAUUGGUCCACGCUAGAAUCAUCCUGUUGUCGCCUGGUUCUGUCCUUGAACAGUCGGUUUCUCCUCAUGGAAACAAACUAAACGUUUUGACAUAACGUCGUGACAAUACAUUUGACGAAGAGUUGAUUAUGAUAGCACAAAACAAAUCUGUGACCAUUUUAAAAGAUGGAAAAGGCCUGGUCAAAUUACUUGUCCUGUUCUGCUUUCAAAACGAGCAUCUGUUAGACCAAACUAGUUCUUUAGGGUUUUUUUUUUCUUUUCUUUCGUGGACACACAAUAGGCUUAGUCCUAGAACUAAAAACACCCAUUUUUAAAAUCAUUAUUUUAGUCCAGGGCUUUGCUUAAUCUGUGUCUAGGAGACGGGAACCUAGUGUUGCUCUCCGAUUUUAAAACUCUUUGCUGCAGAGUAACCUGCAGAUGGAGCAAUGACAUGAGGUCUCUCUCUCUAUCCCUCUCUCUAUCCCUCUCUCUAUCCCUCUCUCUAUCCCUCUCUCUAUCCCUCCCUGAGGUCAUUGUGCUGAUAUUUUUCUUACUUUUGUAAAGAUUAUUUUGGGCAACUGGCCAUGUGCAUUAUGCAAGGUUGUUCAUUUCAAAUGUUCCGUUUUAAAAUAAAUGAAUCAAGAAUAAAA
Molecule: non-coding RNA, 4947 nt
Organism: Salmo salar (Atlantic salmon)
Lineage: Eukaryota; Metazoa; Chordata; Actinopteri; Salmoniformes; Salmonidae
Source: RefSeq, a predicted model, not a curated record